This 460-nucleotide ribosomal RNA is filed under the name uncultured bacterium. RNAcentral describes it as "partial 16S ribosomal RNA". It matches the Rfam family "Bacterial small subunit ribosomal RNA", at positions 338 to 795 of the family's 1533-position model. The record is from RNAcentral.
CCUACGGGAUGCAGCAGUGAGGAAUAUUGGUCAAUGGACGGAAGUCUGAACCAGCCAUGCCGCGUGAAGGAAGACGGCUCUAUGAGUUGUAAACUGCUUUUGUACAAGGGUAAACCUGAAUACGUGUAUUCAGCUGAAAGUACUGUACGAAUAAGGAUCGGCUAACUCCGUGCCAGAAGCCGCGGGAAUACGGAGGAUCCAAGCGUUAUCCGGAUUUAUUGGGUUUAAAGGGUGCGUAGGUGGAUUGAUAAGUUAGAGGUGAAAUGUCCGAGCUUAACUCGAGAACUGCCUCUAAUACUGGUGAUCUGGAGUGUAGAUGCGGUAGGCGGAAUGUAUGGUGUAGCGGUGAAAUGCUUAGAGAUCAUACAGAACGCCGAUUGCGAAGGCAGCUUACCAAUCUAUAUCUGACGUUGAGGCACGAAAGCGUGGGGAGCAAACAGGAUUAGAUACCCUGGUAGUC